RNAcentral lists this small RNA (107 nucleotides) under Sinorhizobium meliloti 2011. RNAcentral describes it as "putative ncRNA". The record is from RNAcentral. Lineage: Bacteria; Pseudomonadati; Pseudomonadota; Alphaproteobacteria; Hyphomicrobiales; Rhizobiaceae.
ACGUCCGCGGCGAUCUCCGAGCGGUGGGGACCCAACGCCUCCUGAAAUGUCGCCAGGCUCGGCGAGUAGACGUGGCACGCCGCGACGAACUCCGGCGCGCUUCCAGG